GAGAGCCGGAUGCGGGAGAUCUGCACGUCCGGUUCGAUGAGGAGGAUGUGGAAACGGGGUGAUGGCAGACGCUACUAGGGCACCGCCAAGCGAAAGCGGCGGCCAACAGACAAGCCAAGCCUAAGACUACCGCGCCACAUCCUUACUCUAC
RNAcentral lists this unclassified non-coding RNA (151 nucleotides) under Noviherbaspirillum suwonense. Lineage: Bacteria; Pseudomonadati; Pseudomonadota; Betaproteobacteria; Burkholderiales; Oxalobacteraceae. The record is from RNAcentral.